GACGAACGCUGGCGGCGUGCUUAACACAUGCAAGUCGAACGGAAAGGCCCUGCUUUUGUGGGGUGCUCGAGUGGCGAACGGGUGAGUAACACGUGAGUAACCUGCCCUUGACUUUGGGAUAACUUCAGGAAACUGGGGCUAAUACCGGAUAGGAGCUCCUGCUGCAUGGUGGGGGUUGGAAAGUUUCGGCGGUUGGGGAUGGACUCGCGGCUUAUCAGCUUGUUGGGGGGGUAGUGGCUUACCAAGGGUUUGACGGGUAGCCGGCCUGAGAGGGUGACCGGGGACAAGGGGACUGAGAGACGGCCCAGACUCCUACGGGAGGCAGCAGUGGGGAAUAUUGCACAAUGGGCGGAAGCCUGAUGCAGCAACGCCGCGUGCGGGAUGACGGCCUUCGGGUUGUAAACCGCUUUCGCCUGUGACGAAGCGUGAGUGACGGUAAUGGGUAAAGAAGCACCGGCUAACUACGUG
This 468-nucleotide ribosomal RNA is filed under the name uncultured bacterium. RNAcentral's name for it is "partial 16S ribosomal RNA". It matches the Rfam family "Bacterial small subunit ribosomal RNA", at positions 28 to 507 of the family's 1533-position model. The record is from RNAcentral.